GACGAACGCUGGCGGCGUGCUUAACACAUGCAAGUCGAACGGCAACGCCCUGCUUUUGUGGGGUGCUCGAGUGGCGAACGGGUGAGUAACACGUGAGUAACCUGCCCUUGACUUUGGGAUAACUUCAGGAAACUGGGGCUAAUACCGGAUAGGAGCUCCUGCUGCAUGGUGGGGGUUGGAAAGUUUCGGCGGUUGGGGAUGGACUCGCGGCUUAUCAGCUUGUUGGGGGGGUAGUGGCUUACCAAGGGUUUGACGGGUGGCCGGCCUGAGAGGGUGACCGGCCACAUUGGGACUGAGAUACGGACCAGACGGCUACGGGGGGCAGAAGGGGGGAAUAUGGCACAAUGGGCGGAAGCCUGAUGCAGCAACGCCGCGUGCGGGAUGACGGCCUGCGGGUUGUAAACCGCUUUCGCCUGAGACGAAGCGUGAGUGACGGUAAUGGGAGAAGAAGCACCGGCUAACUACGUG
RNAcentral lists this ribosomal RNA (468 nucleotides) under uncultured bacterium. RNAcentral's name for it is "partial 16S ribosomal RNA". It matches the Rfam family "Bacterial small subunit ribosomal RNA", at positions 28 to 507 of the family's 1533-position model. The record is from RNAcentral.